UACGGAGGAUGCGAGCGUUAUCCGGAUUUAUUGGGUUUAAAGGGUGCGUAGGCGGGAUGCCAAGUCAGCGGUAAAAAUGCGGUGCUCAACGCCGUCGAGCCGUUGAAGCUGGCGUUCUUGAGUGGGCGAGAAGUAUGCGGAAUGCGUGGUGUAGCGGUGAAAUGCAUAGAUAUCACGCAGAACUCCGAUUGCGAAGGCAGCAUACCGGCGCCCUACUGACGCUGAGGCACGAAAGCGUGGGUAUCGAACAGG
This 252-nucleotide ribosomal RNA is filed under the name uncultured bacterium. RNAcentral's name for it is "partial 16S ribosomal RNA". It matches the Rfam family "Bacterial small subunit ribosomal RNA", at positions 524 to 776 of the family's 1533-position model. The record is from RNAcentral.